GAUACUCUGUUUUUCUCGUAGCUAAAGUUAAUUUUUGUGCCAACAAAUUAACGUAGGAAGCUCAAACUUAGUCUGUGGCAUAAAUGCCCUUAAUUUCUGGGACUUAUAAAACAGGCAGGAGAGCACCCUCUUCGUAAGGGAUGGGCAUUAAAAAACUUCUACCGGUUACGAAAAAAUGGGGUAUCG
This 186-nucleotide non-coding RNA is filed under the name Candidatus Atribacteria bacterium. RNAcentral's name for it is "6S RNA". It matches the Rfam family "6S / SsrS RNA". From Rfam's summary of the family: E. coli 6S RNA was the first non coding RNA to be sequenced, but its function was unknown until recently. It consists of 184 nucleotides that fold into an extended hairpin structure with a large single-stranded internal bulge. The record is from RNAcentral. Lineage: Bacteria; Pseudomonadati; Atribacterota; Atribacteria.